UCAACGAGUCGGGUUGUUUGGGAAUGCAGCCCAAAUCGGGCGGUAGACUCCGUCCAAGGCUAAAUACAGGCGAGAGACCGAUAGCGAACAAGUACCGCGAGGGAAAGAUGAAAAGGACUUUGAAAAGAGAGUCAAAGAGUGCUUGAAAUUGCCGGGAGGGAAGCGGAUGGGGGCCGGCGAUGCGCCCCGGCCGUAUGUGGAACGGCUCUUGCUGGUCCGCCGCUCGGGUCCCUCGGGGCACUGCGCUGCAACGGCCUGCGGGCUCCCCAU
Molecule: ribosomal RNA, 270 nt
Filed under: Triticum aestivum (bread wheat)
Lineage: Eukaryota; Viridiplantae; Streptophyta; Magnoliopsida; Poales; Poaceae
Description: partial small subunit ribosomal RNA
Rfam family: Eukaryotic large subunit ribosomal RNA
Source: RNAcentral